CCUCGUUCGUUCCUUUCCCUUUCCAUUCCACCAUGGCAUUUUUCAUUAAUAUAGCUGCUUAAUAACUACCUAUAUCAUAAGAGUGUUGGGUGGGUGGGC
Molecule: long non-coding RNA, 99 nt
Organism: Gavialis gangeticus (Gharial)
Lineage: Eukaryota; Metazoa; Chordata; Crocodylia; Gavialidae
Exons: 3
Source: RefSeq, a predicted model, not a curated record